RNAcentral lists this ribosomal RNA (443 nucleotides) under uncultured bacterium. RNAcentral describes it as "partial 16S ribosomal RNA". It matches the Rfam family "Bacterial small subunit ribosomal RNA", at positions 338 to 795 of the family's 1533-position model. The record is from RNAcentral.
CCUACGGGAGGCAGCAGUGGGGAAUAUUGGACAAUGGGGGGAACCCUGAUCCAGCGACGCCGCGUGAGUGAAGAAGUAUUUCGGUAUGUAAAGCUCUAUCAGCAGGGAAGAAAGAAAUGACGGUACCUGACUAAGAAGCCCCGGCUAACUACGUGCCAGCAGCCGCGGUAAGACGUAGGGGGCAAGCGUUAUCCGGAUUUACUGGGUGUAAAGGGAGCGUAGACGGCGAUGCAAGUCUGAAGUGAAAGGCGGGGGCCCAACCCCCGGACUGCUUUGGAAACUGUAUGGCUGGAGUGCAGGAGAGGUAAGUGGAAUUCCUAGUGUAGCGGUGAAAUGCGUAGAUAUUAGGAGGAACACCAGUGGCGAAGGCGGCUUACUGGACUGUAACUGACGUUGAGGCUCGAAAGCGUGGGGAGCAAACAGGAUUAGAUACCCGGGUAGUC